AUUUCUCUGUGACUUGCUUUAUAAAUACUGAAAUCAAUGACAAUGGAAGCAUAUCUGUAUUGCACAGCUCGGAAACAUACAUUUGCUAUAAAUAUAUAAUAUUUCUUAAUUUUCAUAUUCAGUUUAGAACUACUCACGUGUCAAAGAGCUACAGGCUGACUCCAUGGAACACAUGUUAUGGGUGACCAUCCUGAGGCAAGGUAAUGUCUUCAAAAGCAGAACUGGAAAUAAGAAAAGAUAGAGGUUGUAGUGUGGUUUUCAAACUAUUUUUUUUUUUUUUUAAAGGUAGUAACCUAAAUUAAAAACACUACAGCAAUUUAGGGAGAUAAAUCCCACUACAUAUAUAUUGCUGGAGGAAUGGGGCCUCUGAAAGAUCAGAAAUUAAUGAUGUUGCCGAAACUUUGUAAACUUUGACCCUGUACCUCACAGUCAGCAGACACAUUCCAGCCAAUCAGCAGCAGACCCUCCCUCCCAGCCCCUCACACCUCCUGGACAGCAUCCAUUUUACAUCCAUUGUGAAGCUGCAUUCUUAGUGAGCUGUCCAGGAGAUGGGAGGGUCUGGGAGGGAGGGCCUGCUGCUGAUUGGCUGGAAUGUGUCUGCUGACUGUGAGGUACAGGGUCAAAGUUUACUCAAUGAUGAAUCCGUGGCGAACCAUUCGCGGCGAACCGUUCGGGACAUCACUAUCAGAAAUCUUAAGCAUAGUUUCAUUAUGCUGAUACCACAUAUUUAGGGAGGGAUAUUGGCUACAUACGCAAUGUUUUUAACACAAAUAACUGCAUGUUUAGCAUAAACUUCUGACUGUAAUUUGACAAAGUAGUAUGCUAAUGCAAAGAAACAAGUCCUGCGCUCAAACUCCCAUUACUCCUGGGCGGCAGCAAUGACCAUAGUACACAUCAGCCAAAAUACAUAUAGUAAAAACCAAAGAAAAAAAGUUACCUGCACUCUCUCCACAUUCCUAUGUAUUUUUAAACAAAUUGAGGUUUUUAGUUACUUCCAAUGGCCAUGAGAGGGUAUGCCCACCUGCCACGUCAAGGCAGACGUCUUAGGUGGGUCCUACUCUAACAAUUUGCCCUGCUUCCUUGAGCUUCUGGCAAAAAAGUCUCUCAUGAGACAGAAAGGUUUUUUUUUUAUAUACAUCCCUACAUUCUUAUUAACCCUUAAUAGGGAACACGUGGGAUGGGCAGCAGCAUUGCAACUUAGCUGUGUGAUACAAAAGUGAAUACAAAUACAAAGAAACAAGUCCUGCGCUCAAACUCCCAUUACUCCUGGGCGGCAGAAAUUACCAUAGUACACAUCAGCCAAAAUACAUAUAGUAAAAACCAAAGGAAAAAAAGUUACCUGCGCUCUCUCCACAUCCCUAUGUAGGGGUGUAUAUAAAAAAUACCCCUUUCUGUCUCAUAAGAUAUUUUUUGCCAGAAGCUCAAGGAAGCAAGGCAAAUUGUUAGAGUAGGACCCACCUAAGACGUCUGCCUUGACGUGGCAGGUGGGCACACCCUCUCAUGGCCAUUGGAGGUAACUAAAAACCUCCAUUUGUUUAAAAAUACAUAGGGAUGUGGAGAGAGUGCAGGUAACUUUUUUUCUUUGGUUUUUAGUAUGCUAAUGAUUGUAUUGAAUAUUGCAGUGUGCCAACCCUCUUCUAAUGUAUUACAUGCUAUGUACAGUCUUUAUAUGCCAAUAAACCUUUUAAAAAAAAAUACUGAUAAAUAACUGUCAGCAGAUCAACUCAAUUAUUCAACAUUCUGGGCAUCAUACAAUAUUAUUAGGAUGGGUUAAACUAUCCAACGUCCCAAGACAUACUUGAAAACUACAGGUGUCUGUUAUAAUAUAGUAUUACUAAAAACAUUUCUUUUUUUGCCGUGGAUUAGAAGACUUCGUUAACCCCUUGUCAUGAAGUGGUUAAAAAUCCCCACAUAUUUGCAAAUUGAUCUGCUGUUACAUUUCUACCAACAGGAUAGUCUAACUUCCUUGUGCAUAAUAAUAAGGGAAACCCCAAUGCAUGUGAUUAUUGGAGUUCAAUUUACCCAUACUGCAAAGACUAAAUGUAAAUCCACCUACUGCAGAUACACAAAAUAUUGGUCUACGAGAUGCUCAGGUUACCUUGGCAAUAGGAGAGAAGGAGAUGUGAUUAUUCCCCUUCAUUGAUCAUAACAGAACAACUUGUGUAUAGCUAAAGACUAUAUUAAAAGCAGAGAUUAUUACUGUAUUGUUGCGCUUAUCUUCCUCUAUCUAUAUGUUAUUUAGGACAUAUUAGCUCUCACGGUAAUAGGUUAACUCCUGAUCCCAUGGAUUCCUGGAAGAUGGGAAACUAAAAGCAAUUGUUAAGAGAGGUUUCUAAACAGAUGUGAAAUAUUGAAGAAUACGCCUGGAGAGUGAAAGGAUUCUCAGAUGACAGAACUAAUCAAAGGGCUUUAUAAAUGGCAGGGGUUUCAACAAUUCCGUAGGACUAAAAUUCUUACCACUGCGGAUUUAUCAAUUUAAAAAGACAAUAGAGGCAACAGAACAACUUAAGUAUAAUAAAGCAGUUUUGGUGUAUAGACCAUGUCCCUGCAGUCUCACAGUUCAAUUCUCCGCCACUUAGGAGUUAAAUCACUUUGUUUAUACAGCCCCAGUCACUACUCCCUGCAUGUGACUUACACAGACUUCCUAAACACUUCCUUAACUGCACAUUCUGUUUAAUUUUGAAUUUCUCAUCUCUGGCUCUGUUAACAGCCUUUGAGACCCUGCAGGAGCCUCCUGUGCGUGCUUAAAGUUCAAUUUACAGGGCAGGAGACAAAAAGGUAUAGGGCACAUUAACAUCUGAUUGAAAAUGGAACAAUUUUUUAAUGCAAGCUGUGUCAGUCACAGCCAGGGGAGGUGUGGCAAGGGCUACCUAAACAGAAACAUAAGUGGUUUAAAGGAAUACUAUAAGUGCCUGGAAUACAAAGCUGUAUCCCGGGCACUAUAGCUCCCUCUGCCUCCGCCCUCCCUCGUAUCGCCCGCGCAGUAGUCAAUCAAUGCUUUCCUAUGGGGGGGGGGGGAAAUCGGACGCUGGAUGUCCUCAUGCUAUUACUAGUUUAUACCUCUUAACUAAAAUGCACUUGAUGAAAUAAUCCCAAUUUAGAGGUGCUGUCCCACGUCUUACUUCUCCACAGAAAGCACAGCACAACCAUAUCAUAUCAUAGACCUGCUUGUGCUGUGCAAACUACACUAAGGGCAUUCUGCCCACACAAGAGGUGGGCUAGUUAGCAAGAUGGGCAUACACUCCUUGCUGACAUGCUUCAUUUUCAUGUGCGUUUAUCCUCUGAUUUGUCACCAGUUGUAAGCAUUGUGUAACAACCUGUGCAUUCAUACCUCCCAAUAUUGAGAAAUAUGCUCAAAAGUCUUGGGGCCCCACUUGUUUGUUUAUUAUGUCUGCUGUCAAAUUUAGCUUAGAAUCUAUAAAUGUAAGAAGCACUUAGCUUCAAGUAACACACUAUAAACCCGGUUUGGUGAUAUAUUCACAAAACCGGCACCUGUGAACAGACAGGAAAUUUGGCAAUUUUAGGGCCAGCAUAACGAAGUUGGAACAAUUGCUAGUUUGGGUACUGUGACGUAGAAUUUGUUUAGUGAAUAAACCCCUCUAAAUACUUAGCCACUCAACAUUCUUGCAGGAAUUCAUAUAUUUAAAAAAAAAUUUUUUUUUAAAAACUGAAAAAAUCUAAAAACAUUCUAUCCCUGCAUUGUUCUAGCAACUCAGUUUUAUGUGUUAUCAAAUUUUUUUAUAUGCUUUCUAAGAACUUACAUAAGAGUUUAUGGAUGCCACCAAAGCAAAAAUAAAUUAAAAAUCUUGUUCUUUUUUUUUACAUAAAAUUAAUGACCCAUAAAAUGAAAGCCUUUUUUUCUCCUCUCUGUUUUAUUCAGGUAAUGCUGGCAUCUGAUCGUAUAACAAUGACAUGGCUUGUUAUGAAAAUUUAAAAAAGAAGCGACUCAUCUGAAAAAAUAGCAGCUGUCUGAUAGAACAUCGGGUGCUUGAAAUAGCUGCAAGAAAUCAAUUUUUCACCAAUGCCUUCCCACCUCUCAUACACAGAUACCAAAAUAACUGCUUUGUACCAACCCUCCCUUUAAAGGGACACACUAC
Pelobates cultripes (western spadefoot toad) is the source of this 4097-nucleotide non-coding RNA. The record is from the annotation of a GenBank genome assembly. Lineage: Eukaryota; Metazoa; Chordata; Amphibia; Anura; Pelobatidae.